This 376-nucleotide long non-coding RNA is filed under the name Elaeis guineensis (African oil palm). RNAcentral's name for it is "long non-coding RNA (EGUI_LNC077236)". The record is from RNAcentral. Lineage: Eukaryota; Viridiplantae; Streptophyta; Magnoliopsida; Arecales; Arecaceae.
CUAAAUUAGGGUUGAUAGUUAAAUCCUAGGUCACCUUGAGCAUUAGGGUCAAAGGGAUGAAUUAUACGAUAACCAUACGCCAAUAGGUUCUAGAAUGUUGCUUUGUAAUACUUUGACCUAUCUAGCCAUCGAGUCAUCAUUGCUAGAUAGUUACAUCGAUUGGUAUAGAAAGUUAUUUCUAUACUACUGACUUAGGUUCGAACUUAUAAGGUCACAUAUAUUAGAAGAGUUAGUCAGAUCUGAUGGCUGAAGAAUUCAAUUGGAUUGUGACUCUGGUGAGGAGUCUUACUGAGACUGGGACUCUGGAAGAGAGUCCCAUUAGGAUUGAGACUCUACUAUGAAUAAAAAAUUAAUUAGUAUUUGACUCAAUUUGAUU